AUAGGGAAAUGGGAAAACAAACAUUUUAAAGGAAUCAGAGAGUGAGUGCAUAAUUUCAAAGCAAAGUCUUCUCUUGAAUGGUGAUAUGCACUACAGUAUGACCUGGAUCAGUUCCAGGGAUGGCAAUAACUGACUUUAUACUAUGCUGCAAUUUAGAAGGGGGACACGAAACAGGAACCAAUACAUGGUUAAUGCAGAAUACUGGUUGCCUAGAGCUACGAGCUCAGGCUGUAGACAACUGGAUCUUUGAAGAUUUAAUAGGUUCCUCGUUCUCUGUCAGUUGGUUCUUUCAGAAUGCCAAGCCUUAGCUCUGUUCUGCCUCAUACCUACAAUACUUAGCUAUGGAUUUUACAUUAAAGAAAUGUAGUUGGAUUUAAGCUAAUGGACAAUAAAGCAUUAGGGUUAGAGGUGCUGAUACAUGCACAGCUAAACUAGGGUCUGCAAUGAAUUAGCAUUGAAAAUAGAUGGUUUUAUAGUGACACAAGCUGUAUGGCCACGAUGAUGUUCCUAGAAAGGAAAUGUUUAAAUUGUUAACACUUGCCUAGCAUGUUGGAAUGUGAGAAAUAGCAAGAGCAGAAAAAAAAAAAAGCAAUGUAGACAUGGCUCAAUAGUCAACUUCGAGGUCACGUUUAGUGCUAAAGGUAAAGUUCUUAUUGAAUUGGGAGUUGGACUGAUGAAUAUACAAUCAACUGUAAAAAAAUUCAUGAAUGAGACAGAACAAUUGGCAUUAGAGCAGAUCUGAUGAUCUUUGAAAUGCAUGCCUUACCAAAGAAUGUACUAUUGUUCUGUCUAGACACAGUGACACAGUGUAAUAAAUAAAGACUGACAGCAUCGAUAUGUUUCAUAAAUAUAUAACUGAAAUGUUCAUCAUUUCAAGCCAUUAAUAUUUUCUCAAUUACCUUAGGUAAAGCAGUGUGUCCAUCUUAGAAAAUAAAAUAUACUGAAAAUACCAUUUGCUUCCAGACAAAGAAAUAAUGCCGUUUAUUUCUCAUUUCUCUGAACAUAUUCAUCUUCUUAAGUAAACCCUGGAAGUCUGAACCAGGAGCCAUAGAUAAUUCAUUAGCUUCAGUCCACAAGGCUAUUUUCUUAGAGACUUCUUGUACAUAUAAUAUCCUGCAAAGUUUUUAGAAGAUCGCUUCAAGGGUUUGUUUUUUUUUUUUUUUUCUUGUUCCUCUUUUCCUUGAAAAAUAAAAUAAACUGUGAUGGAUAGCUUGUGAAGCUAUCAGUCAGCAUCACGGAGCUGGUGUACUUCUUUCUAAACAGUUUCUUUGGGGGAUACGCAUAUUUUUUUGUUCAUGAAGCCAGAACCAGCAGAUGGGAGCUGAUCCGCAGUUGUACCUACAGGACUGUGGUGGGUUUUUUUUUUCCAGACUCACAUUUCCCAGGGCCAUGAUGCAGUCAAGGAAACUAAAAAUAUAACAUUGGAGAACAAUUAUUCCCUGUCAGGAAAUCUAUAAAUAUUCUGGGAAAGUAAUAUGAGCUACAUAUCCUGUUCCAGGGAAGAGGUGCGCAGAGUUCUCUUAUGUCCUGACUUGCAGUUCUGUGUGACACAGACACACUUCAGUAUCUUUUUAAAUUACUUAAAAAAAGAAAAAAGAAAAACUUGGAAAAGUACAUAAUUUCUUUGGCUGUGAGAGUCACUAAACACAUGUGAAAAAUAGGACUUCCCUCAUCAUAUCCUGGCACCAUGUCCUUUGGCUGUGCAUUUGCAAGGGCUUGUACUGGAUAGGUGACAGUUAUGCCUGCCUCAUACCUAUGCAGUUUCUCCCCCAAAACCAUGGUCCUACGAAAACAAACCAAAAUGAAAGGGUGCUCUUCAGCAGGACGGGCUCAAUCUCCACAUCUCCCUUGGGAAGGUUGGGAUGUCAGCUAGCACUGGAGCGAGAGGGUAUUGUACAGUUGAUGCGCCUCGGCACGACUGUGGAUGUGAGCCAGUUUUCCCACUUCUACCAAAUGCCAACUGCUUGAAAUCAGGAACCAUCUUGUCUACCUUUUUGUAUGCAAUUACCAAUAACAGGUCCUGCCACUUGAUGUCACCAAUAUUUCUCUCUAUAAGAAUAAUUUUAUAUUUUAUAAGGUUCAUAUCCAUUACUUAAGAGUCUGUGGAUACAAAUAAGUUAUCAUUUCAAAUAAUGUUUGUUCUUGUUAUGUCAUUUAAAAACUACCUUCUGAAUACCAAAUGUAAUUGCAUUGUCUUUUAUUUAAAUACUGUAGUUUAUAACUCUGAUGAGAUGUGCAUAAAUUAUGAAAAAAUAUUUUAUUGAUUCUAAAAUACAAAGCAAAGGACUCCAACUGUUGAUUUCAAACUUGUGAAUUAAGACUGGGUCCACAAACCACACCAUGAGGAUGCAAGCAGGUUUCUUGUCUGUUCUCAUAAUGAAAUUUUUACUGAAUGCAGCCAUACCACACUUCCAAGUAGUAGAGGGGAUUCAUACUCCCCCCUUACACCUGCAGGCAACCACUGAGCUCAACAAUGCUCUCAUUGUACCCACAGGAUAUUGGUCCUGGAUUACCACUGAACUUGCAUAGGCAGAGCAACACAAAGGUUGGUCUACUCAGAAGCUUGGGAGAGCCCCCUAAUUCUGAAGAAAGAGACAGAAAACCUCUGGACUUGCCUGAAUAUGUCUCUGUGAAAAUGCAUCUCUUCUACAUAGAUACUUCUCAAACACAUGUGGCUCUUGGGCUUUGGAAUGUGAUUAGUGACACUAGAGAACUGAACUUCAAUUUAUAUUUCACUUUGAUUAUUUAAAUCCACAUGACCACAUGGCUGGUGGUUAUUAUUUUAAGAGUGUGGUAUAAACUAUGUUAUUGCAAGUCUCACACCUAAUUCUUCAUUUGACUGUCAGACACCGCUUUCAGUACUGAGCAACUGCACUGAGUGUUGUCACUAAAAGAGAUUCAAAGAAGUGUAGAAUCUUUCUUUGCAUUUUCAGCAGUGAAUGCUGAUGAAUGGUACUUUCCUGCAACUAUAUCUCCUAUGCUUAGAAACUAGAGAAGCAGAUGCUAGCUUAGAAGAACCGAAAUGGUGGCAUACUGCACUGGAAACUAAGAACUCCCCCAUACCUUUUCCUCAAGAGUUCUUUUGCAAGAUACAAAUUUUAAUGAUUGAAUACAGAUUCUGGCACUUACAACUGCCAUCCACUGCCACUGAGACACCAUGUUCUCUUAAAUAAAAUUUUACAUGAUAAUUUAGAAUAAAGACAACAGCUUCUGAAGGGAUGCCAUUAGGUAGAAGUUGAAAUCCUUGCUUAUCGUAGCUCCCAUCUCAAUACUGGAGAUCUUUUGUAGCAAGUCUAGAGUUUCCAAGGAGCUUGGUUCAUAGAUUUGUGUGCCUUUUCAAUGUAUAUCCAUCCCUUAGAAAAAUCGAAAUUCUCACAAUUGCUCUGUAGUACAGCUUGAGAUCAGGCAUGGUGAUUCCACCAGAGGUUCUUUUAUUGUUGAGAAUAGUUUUUGCUAUCCUAGGUUUUUUGUUAUUCCAGAUGAAUUUGCAAAUUGCCCUUUCUAACUCAGUGAAGAACUGAGUUGGAAUUUUGGUAGGGAUUGCAUUGAAUCUGUAGAUUGCUUUCGGGCAGGAUAGCCAUUAUGACUAUAACAAUCCUACCAAUCCAUGAGCAUGGGAAAUCUUUCUAUCUUCUGAGAUCUUCUUCAAUUUCCUUCUUCAGAGACUUGAAGUUCUUAUCAUACAGAUCUUUCACUUCCUUAGUUGAUAAAAUAAGGGUAACUAUAAGACAUGGCAGGUAUCUUAGUUAGAUUUUCUUAACUGGGAUAAGACUUCAUGACCAAAUGCAAUUUGAAGAGAAAAGGGUUUUUGUAGUUCACCAUUUAGGAAAGUCAGGACAGAAACUUAAGACAGAAACCUGGAGGCAAUAUCUCAUGCAGAGGGCCCUGGGGGAAUGCUGCCUAAUGGUUUGCUCAGUCUGCUUUCCUUUAUUCCCUCAAGACCACCUUCCUAAGCUAUGCCCUCUAACAUCAUUCAGUGUUUUAGGGUUUUACUGCUGUGAACAGACACCAUGACCAAGGCAAUUCUUAAAAGGACAACAUUUAAUUGUGGCUGGCUUACAGGUUCAGGGAUUCAGUCCAUUAUCAUUGAGGCAGGAACAUGGCACCAUCCAGGCGAGGAUGGUGCAGGAGAAGGAUCUGAGAGUUCUACAUCUUCAUCUGAAGGCUAUUAGCAGAAUACUUGCUUCCAGAUGGCUAGAAUGAGGGUCUUAAAAGCCCACACUCAGAGUGACACACCUAUUCCAACAGGCCUCACCUUCUAAUAAUGCCACUCCCUGGACCAAGCAUAUACAAACUAUCAAAAUCACCAGUCAAGAAAAUUCCCCCCACAGUCUUUCCCAAUGGAAGGUCUGUUGGGUUCAUUCUCUCAAUUGAGGUUUCCUCUUCCCAAAACACUCUAGAUUGUGUCAAGUUGUAUCUAUUAUCAAGAUGACUAAACAAGACAGUGAAGAGAACUCAGGUUCCUCGUGUAGCAGUCACCAUGAAAUGAAGUGCUUCGAAAUUUCAGCUAGAAAUGCAACGAUGCUGGGAGCAUUCUCACUCAGAAACCACGCAUACACAUCUGUCCACAUUAAGCUCUCAUUCAAAGCCAGGCAGUGCUUCUCUAUGGAGAAAAUCAUAGAAACUCAGAGUUAGUCCUUGCUGUCUGUGUAUCUUAUGGAAGUAUUUAUCUCCUACCAUAUCACUUAAGGUACACAACAAGCUGAGGGGAGGGGCAAUCUCACAAACCACAGGUGGCAAACACAGAAAACCUACCAUGUUGCUCAGGAUCACUGGCAUGUCCUCACUCUCCAUCAAAGCUCUCAGGAUUUGUACCAUUAGUGUUGGGUUGCAUAUGAUAAUACUCAGUUUGAGGUCUUUAUUCCUAAGCCACUUCUUGCAGCAUUUAACUGUACUUGUGGAUGUUGUACCUGUCAUCCACAAGUGUCCUUCUGUUUUCUGGGUGUCAUCUGAUAUUAGCAUUUAAUACUUUUACACAUUUUAAUAAAUUUCAUCAUAUCCAAAAGGAAUAUGGACUUUAUUAGGAAGAGAUGUGUACUAUUUUUGCUCAUGGCUAUUAAAUAUUCAAAAUGUAUUGAAUGAAAGAAUACAAUAGCUCUUUUUGACUGUCUGCCAAUUUCAUUGAGGCCAAUUUCACUCAUCAGGAACUCGAAGCAUUGAUGUUUGACUUUGCUAGUUGGUUUGCCUUGUCCUAAAUAAAACCUUUAGGUGUAUCUUUUAGUACUUGCUCUCUCUAUAUUAAAACUAGCUACACUAGAUGUUCAAUAUUGUUGAAAACACUUUUAUUAGUUGUGUUGUUUAUAGUCAAUCACAUGAAUUUCUCUUUUGUAUUUGUAAACAUUUUGUUGUUUUUUUUUCUAGCAAACUGAAAAGUUUACAACUCACCCAACAUUUGUUCUCAUUGAUAAAAUAUGUACGAGUGAACUCAGUUUGUUCUUGAUGAAAGUUUGAAUUCCAUUUAGUGAGAGACAUUCUCAGAUUUCUACCUUAAUCAUUCAAACAACAACAGUCAGAUACUUUUAUAGGUCUUC
RNAcentral lists this long non-coding RNA (5531 nucleotides) under Mus musculus (house mouse). RNAcentral's name for it is "long non-coding RNA chr8:7857875-7863406". The record is from RNAcentral. Lineage: Eukaryota; Metazoa; Chordata; Mammalia; Rodentia; Muridae.